AUUGUUGUAGCCUCCGUUGGUGUACCCACCAUAGGGUGGAUAGUGCAUUGGGGCAGGGGAGUACGGGGAUCCAAGAACAGCAGAAGACACUACUUCUGGUGAGUAUGCAGCAUAAGGAUCCCUUAGAGCUGGAGGGCUUCUGCUACCAUAGACACCAUGUCCCACUGUCCUGUCAUAAGGAUAGAGAGGAGCCGCAGCAGCUGGGUACGAGGGGUGUGAUGAGGGAGAACGGACAAAUGUAGCAGCAGCAUUUGGUGUUGGAAAAGAGGAGACAUAGGCGUUAUGUGUCAGGCGACCAGCCUUGGCAGGAGGCAUCAGCCCCCCACAAUUUACCCGUGUGCGCUUGUUGGCAGGGCCAGUAGGGCUGGGCGAUUUCUUUUUCUCAGCCUUCGCCUUCUCCAGAUGUUCAAGGCGCUUCUGAAGAUCCUCUAACGGAAACUCAGUUUCAAGUUUGUGCUCCUCAAUACAUUUCAU
Molecule: unclassified non-coding RNA, 474 nt
Filed under: Hevea brasiliensis (rubber tree)
Lineage: Eukaryota; Viridiplantae; Streptophyta; Magnoliopsida; Malpighiales; Euphorbiaceae
Source: RNAcentral